Molecule: small RNA, 145 nt
Filed under: Bacillus methanolicus MGA3
Lineage: Bacteria; Bacillati; Bacillota; Bacilli; Caryophanales; Bacillaceae
Description: non-coding RNA with unknown function
Source: RNAcentral
AACAAUCAAAAAAACAGUUCCUUUUCGGACUUCUAAAGCCCCGAAAUGAACCCUUUUUCUCCCAAAGGGUUUGUUUAAUUGGAAGACUUUUAAAGGUUUAAAAAUAAUUUACGGACGUUCGUUUAAUUUUGUGUACCUUUACGGA